RNAcentral lists this ribosomal RNA (256 nucleotides) under Enterobacter hormaechei. RNAcentral's name for it is "partial 23S ribosomal RNA". It matches the Rfam family "Bacterial large subunit ribosomal RNA", at positions 2061 to 2316 of the family's 2925-position model. Lineage: Bacteria; Pseudomonadati; Pseudomonadota; Gammaproteobacteria; Enterobacterales; Enterobacteriaceae. RNAcentral also lists the same sequence under 2 other names. The record is from RNAcentral.
GCAGUGUACCCGCGGCAAGACGGAAAGACCCCGUGAACCUUUACUAUAGCUUGACACUGAACACUGGUCCUUGAUGUGUAGGAUAGGUGGGAGGCUUUGAAGCGUGGACGCCAGUCUGCGUGGAGCCGCCCUUGAAAUACCACCCUUUAAUGGCUGGUGUUCUAACGUAGACCCGUAAUCCGGGUUGCGGACAGUGUCUGGUGGGUAGUUUGACUGGGGCGGUCUCCUCCCAAAGAGUAACGGAGGAGCACGAAGG